Bos taurus (domestic cattle) is the source of this 639-nucleotide long non-coding RNA. The record is from Ensembl. Lineage: Eukaryota; Metazoa; Chordata; Mammalia; Artiodactyla; Bovidae.
GUGAGUUUGUGUGCGACUCCCUUAAAACAGUCUUGCUUUCCCACAGCCCUCAGGCUCUCCCAGACCUAAGCCCCUAUUGGUUUUCAAGGCCAGAUAUUGGGCUCCCUGGGCUGGGGAGCCCAAUGUGGGGCUCAGACCUCUCGCUCCUCAUGGGAAACCUCCACAACUGUGAUAUCCCUCCCGUUUGUGGGUGACUGCACUGAGAUGCAGUUUUGGUGUGUCCAUGGGAGGAGACAAGCUCAGGAUGCUCUACUCUGCCAUCUUGAUCUGGAACUUAUUUUGUUUCUUAAGCACCGUAAGCCUGUGACCUUCUCAAAACCUCUGUACAUACCUGAUGCUUAGAACGUCUCUCCAAGGUCUCCACUCUUUCUCGUCAUUCAGAUCUGAGUUCAAAUGCCACUCGCCUCCCUAGAGAGUCCCUCCCUGACCUCCUUAUCCCUGUCACCAACCCCAGUCACAUUUUAUCCCAUCAUCCAAUUGUCAUUUCUUCACAGAGAUUAUCUGGUUUUAUCUUGAUAGUUUAUGGGCUUACUUAGUUAUUUUCAACCUACUCUCCACAGGACAUAAGCCUCAUGAUAGCAAAGACCUUAUUUGUCUUACUUACCCUGAUGCCCUCUAUGCCCAGAGCAAAGCCUGAUA